This 4855-nucleotide long non-coding RNA is filed under the name Homo sapiens (human). RNAcentral's name for it is "HSALNT0328546". The record is from RNAcentral. Lineage: Eukaryota; Metazoa; Chordata; Mammalia; Primates; Hominidae.
GUGGCCAGUGGCUACUGUAUUGAACACUACAGCUGUAGACAAUAUGAAAUAAAUAUAAAGCAGUCUCCACUUUGGAAAAACAGAAGACUCUUACUGCCUCAUAAUAUAGAUGAAAAAUGAAAUACUAAGAUAAGUAAAAUGUUCUUUAAAGAACAAAAACAAAAGAAAACCUAAUGAAAGCUAUAAAAGUCCAUUGGAUAAUAAUGCUACCAGUACUAAGGAAGUACAGCCCCUAAAAGUGACUUGCAGUCACAAAUAUAAAAACGACUAUUCAAGUGAACUCCUAAGGUAAAAAUUUGUUAUUCACCAUGCUCCAAAAUGGUCUGUAACAUUCUUCAGAGAUGGCAUGGUAAAGUACGAUACAAGGGUAAUAUUAACAGUAUGCUGUCACAGGUGCCAUUCUCUUAAAAAAGAAAUCCCAAAAUAAAUAUAAAUGGAAAGCAAAUAAUUAAACACACUAAAUACAGAUUAUUACAAAAAUCCAUAAGGAAUUCUGGUGCAGAAAGAACUUCAUAAUCAAAAUCCCAAAUAUAAAAUUUAUCUAUCAAAAGUGAAAAUGCUGACAUACAGUUUCUUGCAAAAAAAAAAAGUUUAGAAAUUUUUUUAACAUAAAUAAAUAAGAACAUCUUUUUAAACAAAAUCUUAGGCUGUUGAGUCCCGUUUAUUUUCUACACCUCUAAUUCCAAAGCUGAGAAACAAACGGAUACUUCAGAAAAAAAAAAAAAAUAACUCAUGACAAUUUGUCUUUUGGACACAGAAUAUAAAGGAAAAAUAAAAUUUAUGUCUAACUGGCCAGACCUCAAUUGAAUUUUUCAUCCUAGCUGGUUCCUAAAUCCAAAUCAGAUACUUAUCAAUAAAACUGUUUUUCUGCACAGCUACUACUAGCUAGAAACUGCUUCUCCAAAUUUAUACUGACCAUUUCUUCUAAAAUGUUGAAAUUCUAGCUCAUAGUUUUUAAAAAACCAUUCUUAAUGUACUGAUUCCAGAGUACUAAUUCCAAUGGCCAAGAAAAUUCAAAAAGAUUUGGAGUGGUCUCUGAGAUUAGAAUGUGUGACAAUGUGAAGCAUUUCACUACAACGUCCAAGAUUAAAGUGUCAAAGCAGAUGAGGAAAUGAAGCUCCCAAAACAGAUGCCCAUGAGAAAGGAGCCCAGAAAAGCAAAAGGGGCCACAGCCCAGGACCUUACAAUAAAGAAAAGUGGCUCUGGCCCCAUGGUAGCCUUCCUGAAACACUGGGAAAGAAUGAAGUCCUUAGCAAAAUUCUGACCAGGAUCGCAAAUUUAAAUGUAAGCUUGUAAGGAAAACACCUAUGGACUUGGGUUUAAAUUUGUCCAUCUAAGAUAUAAAAUUACAAGUUUGACCAAAUGUGCCAGUUGUCCACUUAUUUUCUCUCAGCUCUGAAUUCAUCCUUUCCUGUCUGCUCUGCAGAAAUGAACUUGGACCCUUUAAACAUUUUUCCUUUGCUAGUUGGCAUGAUGUUAGAUCGACAUUGUAAGAGGAGAUUUUCCUCUUCUUUCCAAGAGUCUUGUGUGCUCCUCUUGGCAGGCUUCUGUACUGCAACACAGCUUCUCCAGUGUCCAGAUCCAGAACCCGUGCAGUUUGCUCCAUUGUCAGGCUCCUGAAGUGCACAGCAGUCAGCAGCACCCAGUAUCUUCCACCAGUACCUCCACAAGGCAGUAUUAUAGCAGAGUGAUUCGGAUGAGACAGAUUUCUACCACAGCAACUUCUCUUCAUUCAGUGAGCCACAGCCAUGCCCCCUCAAACAGGGUCUGGAUCUUAAUCCCAGAGGCCCUGGAUGUUCUAUCUUAACCCCAGGGGUUGAUGCUCCUUUUAUCUGUUAUUCUUAUAUUCCUUAGAGUUCUCUUUACUUUUUACUAGCCAAUCCUCAUUGCUCCAAAACCCUGUUAUAGCUAGCAGUUCUUCGUAUUAAUCUUUCCUUGUUCAAAUUACAUGUGAUUUCUCUAUUCUAAUCAAACACUGACUGAUAGAUCAAAUUUCAGGCAAUUAAUCAAAUUGAGAAAAUUAUAGGGCAUUAUGUCUAAUUUGUUAUUUUAUAUAUUAGCAAACACAUAAGAUCUGAUAAUCAGAAAGUUCAGAGCGCUAAACCAAAGUCUCUAAAGAAUGGAAGGAAUCAGUUCACAGGAUAUAUGCUUGUUAAUGCUACUCCCAUUUGGGGGAAGUAUAAUUUUCUCCAGUAACCAUGAAAAAUAAGAGAUCACUUUGUUUCUUCUGAUGAUUUAUUUUUAUUUUAAAAGGGAAAUGAAAAUCUGAAAAAUAUAAAAGUUUAAGAAGACAAAGUAGAAACAGUCAAUGGCUCCAUUUCUCUGGCAAACUAAUCAACCAAACUGUUCUAUCUACAUUUGACGGGAAACCCAAAAUUUCAGUGAUCCCACACUAAUGUUCACAUUGUUUUUCUGCUAUAUAGGAACACUUUUAACAUGUUCCCUCUGUCUCACUGUUUGUCAUGUACUCUCUGUAGACUACUUUGCCAACAUUAAAAUGAAAUGUUCAGCAUCAAGCUCAUCAUUCCUGUCUCACUUCACUCCGAAAUCUGCUAGCCACAGAGUUAAAAGGACAGGAUUAAGAGUCAUUAGACACAGUAUUAAGGAGAAUUAAAGGGCCUGUUCAAGAGGCAUAACAUCUGCUCCUCAAAUUCCUGCCUAAACAACGAAGAUUCCGAUCAAAGAGAAGAGAGGGAAAGCCAAUCUAACCAGUAAACCGGAGUCAUGAGGAAGUGAAUGCUCUCUCAGGGAGUAACUCUGACACCAGAGGAAGGCUUAGUGACAUUGCACAAUUGUUUCUGUGAAGUCAUUCAUGGGGCAAGUGGGAGUAUAUGAGUAGAAGUGGAAGGGAGUGGGAAGGUGAAGAUUGAGGAUCCUUUUAAGUAGUUUUUGCUCAGCUAGCAAAACAAGCUGGGACAUGCAAGACAGAUAAACACAGCUGUUUGGGGCUGUCACUUGGGGCUCAGGAGCCAAGGUGUCCUGCUGUAGUGAAAAGUGCACCGGAAUUAAAUAGCUAGGCUUCUAAGCCCUACCACAGAGAGUCAACAGACAAACUGCCCAGGGAAAAGUUAUGACCUCAGGCAAAGUGAAUUUCUACAGCUAAGGCAGAUCCUGAAGAAGCUCACAAAUAAAGGCUGCAUACUCACACAUUCCCUGAAGCUUGACAGUGCCAGCCACCAUACUGUGAGGGAGCUGAAGUAAGCCCACAUGAGGAAGAAUUGAGGUCCCAAGCCAACAGCUGCAGCUAAGAUCCAAGCUCUCAACCAGUACCAGUUCAUCCGUUAUGCACACUAAGAUAUGGAAGCUAAAAGAGGACUAAGAGGAUUCUGGGGAUAUUACAAGAUAUUGCAGACUAUCUUGUUUUCCUGGAAAAGGAUUUUACCUCAGUCGACUGAAUUACUUUUUUCACUGUGUCUUGCCACUCUUCGUGCAUGCAUCAAAGACCCUAAUAUGACUUCUGGUGGCCUGGGACUCCUUGGGAAAACAGAAAAGGGGCCACAAAUCCCAUUUUGGGAACAAUCUGUUUUACUCAUGGAACCCCUGGAAUUAGAGAUACAACUGGAGAAACUGUUCUGUGGAGGCUUUGAGUGGAAGGGUGUGCUUCCCUUUAAGGAAUCAAGCUUGAUUUGCAAAGCCAAUAAAACCCCCUUAAGAAAACUGGCCUCCUACCUGUCUACACAGUCUCUGUACAAGAUUACUGACCUGUGGUGAGCAAAAAAAUGUCACUUUCUAACAGACCUAGGAACUCCAUGCUUCUAAAAUCUCAGGAAGAAAAAAGUUUAUCCAACUCACAGUUAUUUGUAGAUACAAACCCAUGGCUGGGCUUGGUUUUAAAAAGUCCGAUCUGAAAUUCCUUGUGGAACAGAGAGUUCCAUCAAAGCCAAUCAAAAAGGCCUAUAUAGAGGUGAUUAUUCUUGCUUCAUUUUAUGCAAAUAAUCAGGCCAAGUAUACAACUAAAGUUUACUUUGCAAACAGCUAAGUCCUAUCAUAAGUUGUUUUUUAACAAAAUGAGGACUAGAGAGACAGAAAUUAUGUUUCAAAAUUUAUCAUACAUCUGUCAUUGGAUUCAAGUCUCAUUAGUCAUUUUUAAAUUCUUGUCUACAUUUUAAACUAACCAUGCUAAUUCUUGUAAUCCAACCACAUCUCCAGCUGUGGCUCAAACAAAACAGAAAGUGAUAGGUAAUGUAAAAAUCUCGAACAAUGUUCUGGCUGGGCAAUUAUCCUAUAAAUCUUGCUAGGUAGCCUAUAACCCCAAGGUUUUCUUUUUUUGGGAAAGUAAGAUCAAGAAAGUUUAAAAAAGCCUAGCCCCAUACACUCACUUAAAACAGCACAACCCAUCUAAAUGGCUUACAGGUAUCAAAUAAACUCUGUUGUCAUGGUUAUGGCCUAUAGUGCCCCCACUAAUAAUGGUAGUCUUAAUACUCAUAUUUUAACCCUAUAUUCUAAACCUCCUUGUAAAGUUUACUUCUUCUCACCUAGAAACCAUCAAGCUUUAAAUGGUGUGGCAAAAGGAGCUGAAAAUUAAACUGACCUUCUACUGCAUACCCUUAAAUUGACCCAGGAGGAGCCCUAGCUGCUAUUCCCAUGCCACGCCCCUCUCCAGCAGGAAGUAGCCAGAGUAAGUCGACGCCCAAUUCCCCGUAACAGCAGUUAGGAAUUUCAUUCCUGAGGGGGGUGUUUGUUAUAGGAGAUAAAAAUAAAUUAUUUGGGUAGACAGAGUAAAGAGAGUCCCCGGCAGAAUACUUUCCUUCUAACAAAAAGCAGCUCAGAAAUGGCUCCCUUUCUAACCUUGUGAAGUUCAAAGAAAUCAUUUCUCUUCUAACAAAGAACAACCUGAAAGGCUGUAAAAACACAG